AUUUCUAUAAUAUAUAAAUAUAUAUAUAUAUAUUUAUAUAGUUUAAAAAACAUUACAUUUUCAUUGUAAAAUUAAAUAUUUAUUAUUUUAUAA
Molecule: transfer RNA, 93 nt
Filed under: Diatrichalus sp. A00156
Lineage: Eukaryota; Metazoa; Arthropoda; Insecta; Coleoptera; Lycidae
Description: tRNA-Glu
Source: RNAcentral